UUGGAUCCGCGCGGUGUUGAUGCCUUCAGCAUCCCGGCGCCUCGGAGGUCUACUCUGGAAUCUACUUGGCUUUUUUUCCCCUUCUUAGUCCCUCCCUCCCUCCCUCCCUCCCUCACCUCCACGCCUGGCUUCCUUGGCUAGCUAUCUCUGCGCUCUUUACCCUUUGCUGGCAACAGAUAAAAGGGGUCUGAGGAAAUACUGAGCACGGUCAUCCCAUCGCCUGCUCUACCCUUUAAAUUCCCAGCCCAGGGAGAUCUACGCACAGCCAGACCGGGCUGAACACCCAUCCGGUGAGACAGGAGGGCAGGUUUCCAAGCGCCGCUCCGCCACACUUGAUCUCAGCGCUGGGAAAGUGAAGCGAGCAACCGACAGCCACGAUGCCGGCCCACAUGCUCCAAGAGAUCUCCAGUUCCUACACGACCACCACUACCAUCACAGAGCCUCCUUCCGGAAACCUGCAGAAUGGACGAGAGAAGAUGAAGAAGGUGCCCCUCUAUCUGGAAGAAGACAUCCGUCCU
Molecule: long non-coding RNA, 518 nt
Filed under: Rattus norvegicus (Norway rat)
Lineage: Eukaryota; Metazoa; Chordata; Mammalia; Rodentia; Muridae
Description: long non-coding RNA NONRATT003820
Source: RNAcentral